GUGUUUGCCUUGGCAGCACAUAUACUAAAACUGGAACAAUACAGAGAAGAUUAGCACAGCCUCCCCACAAGGAUGACAUGCAAAUUCAUGAGGCAGUUCAUAUUUUU
This is a small nuclear RNA of Callithrix jacchus (white-tufted-ear marmoset), 107 nucleotides long. NCBI's taxonomy places the organism in Eukaryota, Metazoa, Chordata, Mammalia, Primates, Cebidae. The record is from Ensembl.